GACGAACGCGGGCGGCGUGCCUAAUACAUGCAAGUCGAACGCUUCUUUUUUCACCGAAUUCGGUUCAUCGAAAAAGAGGAGUGGCGAACGGGUGAGUAACACGUGGGUAAUCCUGCCCAUCAGAAGGGGAUAACACUUGGAAACAGGUGCUAAUACCGUAUAAUGCUUUUUCUCGCAUGAGAGCAAGCUGAAAGGCGCUUUUGCGUCACUGAUGGAUGGACCCGCGGUGCAUUAGCUAGUUGGUGAGGUAACGGCUCACCAAGGCCACGAUGCAUAGCCGACCUGAGAGGGUGAUCGGCCACACUGGGACUGAGACACGGCCCAGACUCCUACGGGAGGCAGCAGUAGGGAAUCUUCGGCAAUGGACGAAAGUCUGACCGAGCAACGCCGCGUGAGUGAAGAAGGUUUUCGGAUCGUAAAACUCUGUUGUUAGAGAAGAACAAGGAUGAGAG
This 452-nucleotide ribosomal RNA is filed under the name Enterococcus sp. oral taxon A43. RNAcentral's name for it is "bacterial SSU rRNA". It matches the Rfam family "Bacterial small subunit ribosomal RNA", at positions 28 to 461 of the family's 1533-position model. Lineage: Bacteria; Bacillati; Bacillota; Bacilli; Lactobacillales; Enterococcaceae. The record is from RNAcentral.